UGUAGACUCAAUCCCUCGGGUUUCCGAGGAGAUUGGACUUGGGUGUCUGCCUCUUUUGGCUCGCCUUAAAAGACUUAGCAGGAUAGCACCAUAGUCGACUUAAUAAGUUUCGUCGGUGAAGGUGUGAUGUCUGCUCACAAUCGCCCUUGGGCACUUUUGACUCUGACCUCAAAUCAGGUAGGACUACCCGCUGAACUUAA
This 200-nucleotide unclassified non-coding RNA is filed under the name soil metagenome. Its description in RNAcentral is "partial contains internal transcribed spacer 2 and large subunit ribosomal RNA". The record is from RNAcentral.